RNAcentral lists this ribosomal RNA (522 nucleotides) under uncultured bacterium. RNAcentral's name for it is "partial 16S ribosomal RNA". It matches the Rfam family "Bacterial small subunit ribosomal RNA", at positions 899 to 1397 of the family's 1533-position model. The record is from RNAcentral.
ACUCAAAUGAAUUGACGGGGACCCGCACAACUGGUGGAGCGUGUGGUUUAAUUCGAGACGAAGCGAAGCACCUUACCAAGGUUUGACAUGCUACCGUUUAUUUCCCAAGAAACUGGGAGAAAUCCGCAAGGAUGGUAGCACAGGUGAUGCAUGGCUGUCGUCAGCUCGUGCCGUGAGGUGUUCCCUUAAGUGGGGAAACGAGCGCAACCCGCAUCUAAUGUUAAAUAUUCAUUAGAAACAGCCCCAUCCUCAAGUGUGUAAGUAAUAAACUUAUGCUUUUGAGGAUGGGGAGGAAGGAGCGGAAGACGUCAAGUCAGCACGUCCCUUAUACCUUGGGUUACACACACCCUACAAUGGCGAAUAACAAUGGGCAGCAAGCCGGCGACGGCAAGCAAAUCCCACAAAUUUCGCCUCAGUUCAGAUUGGAGUCUGCAACCCGACUCCAUGAAGGAGGAAUCAGUAGUAAUCGCGGAUCAGCAGGCCGCGGUGAAUACGUUCUCGGGUCUUGCACACACCGCCCGU